This 433-nucleotide ribosomal RNA is filed under the name uncultured bacterium. RNAcentral's name for it is "partial 16S ribosomal RNA". It matches the Rfam family "Bacterial small subunit ribosomal RNA", at positions 29 to 507 of the family's 1533-position model. The record is from RNAcentral.
AACGAACGCUGGCGGCAUGCCUAACACAUGCAAGUCGAACGAGACCUUCGGGUCUUGUUGCGCUGGGGGGCUUAACGCCUGGGAACCUGCCCGUAGGUUCGGUAUAACUCCCCGAAGGGUGUGCUAAUACCGGAUAAUGUCUUCGGACCUAAGAUUUAUAGCUUUGGGAUGGGCCCGCGUUGGAUUCGCUAGUUGGUAGGGUAAAAGCCUAUCAAGGCGACGAUCCAUAGCUGGUAUGGGAGGAUGACCAGGAAAACUGGGACUGAGACCCGGACCAGACCCCUAGGGGAGGCAGCAGUGGGGAAUAGUGGACGAUGGGCGAAAGACUGAUCCAGCCAUGCCGCGUGAGUGAUGAAGGCGUUAGGGUUGUAAAGCUCUUUUACACGGGAUGAUAAUGACAGUACCGGGAGAAUAAGCUCCGGCUAACUACGUG